UACGUAGGCAGCGAGCGUUGUUCGGAGUUACUGGGCGUAAAGGGUGUGUAGGCGGUUUUCUAAGUUUGGGGUGAAAUCUCCCGGCUCAACCGGGAGGGUGCGCCGAAAACUGGGAGACUAGAGGGCGGGAUGGGAGAGUAGAAUUCCUGGUGUAGCGGUGAAAUGCGUAGAUAUCAGGAGGAAUCCCGGUGGUGUAGACGGCUCUCUGGACCGCCACUGACGCUGAGACACGAAAGCGUGGGUAGCAAACAGG
This 253-nucleotide ribosomal RNA is filed under the name uncultured bacterium. RNAcentral's name for it is "partial 16S ribosomal RNA". It matches the Rfam family "Bacterial small subunit ribosomal RNA", at positions 524 to 776 of the family's 1533-position model. The record is from RNAcentral.